This is a long non-coding RNA of Drosophila navojoa, 299 nucleotides long. The record is from RefSeq and is a predicted model, not a curated record. Lineage: Eukaryota; Metazoa; Arthropoda; Insecta; Diptera; Drosophilidae.
AUAUUAAUGUUCAAACGGCUGAGCGGAAUGCCGAUGGUGAGCCGCUAAAAACACUGCGCAGCUAUCGACUGUUUAACUAUGCGUCUCCAGCGCUGGGCAUACAUUUGGGUCUACGGCAAGCAGGAAACGUUAAGGUUAAUGAUGUUAUUUACGUAGAAGAGAAGUGAAACUGGUCCUGGAAACUGAGGAUAUUCACUUUAUAUACAUACAUCUUUAUUCCAUAUAACAGAGAUUAUUGAUAGUACGAAACUUUGUAUAUGAUAGUAAUAAUAAUAAACAUUGCUGCAACAACUACCUUA